RNAcentral lists this ribosomal RNA (2927 nucleotides) under Escherichia coli. RNAcentral's name for it is "23S ribosomal RNA". It matches the Rfam family "Bacterial large subunit ribosomal RNA". Lineage: Bacteria; Pseudomonadati; Pseudomonadota; Gammaproteobacteria; Enterobacterales; Enterobacteriaceae. The record is from RNAcentral.
GGGUUGUGAGGUUAAGCGACUAAGCGUACACGGUGGAUGCCCUGGCAGUCAGAGGCGAUGAAGGACGUGCUAAUCUGCGAUAAGCGUCGGUAAGGUGAUAUGAACCGUUAUAACCGGCGAUUUCCGAAUGGGGAAACCCAGUGUGAUUCGUCACACUAUCAUUAACUGAAUCCAUAGGUUAAUGAGGCGAACCGGGGGAACUGAAACAUCUAAGUACCCCGAGGAAAAGAAAUCAACCGAGAUUCCCCCAGUAGCGGCGAGCGAACGGGGAGCAGCCCAGAGCCUGAAUCAGUGUGUGUGUUAGUGGAAGCGUCUGGAAAGGCGCGCGAUACAGGGUGACAGCCCCGUACACAAAAAUGCACAUGCUGUGAGCUCGAUGAGUAGGGCGGGACACGUGGUAUCCUGUCUGAAUAUGGGGGGACCAUCCUCCAAGGCUAAAUACUCCUGACUGACCGAUAGUGAACCAGUACCGUGAGGGAAAGGCGAAAAGAACCCCGGCGAGGGGAGUGAAAAAGAACCUGAAACCGUGUACGUACAAGCAGUGGGAGCACAGAGCAAUCUGUGUGACUGCGUACCUUUUGUAUAAUGGGUCAGCGACUUAUAUUCUGUAGCAAGGUUAACCGAAUAGGGGAGCCGAAGGGAAACCGAGUCUUAACUGGGCGUUAAGUUGCAGGGUAUAGACCCGAAACCCGGUGAUCUAGCCAUGGGCAGGUUGAAGGUUGGGUAACACUAACUGGAGGACCGAACCGACUAAUGUUGAAAAAUUAGCGGAUGACUUGUGGCUGGGGGUGAAAGGCCAAUCAAACCGGGAGAUAGCUGGUUCUCCCCGAAAGCUAUUUAGGUAGCGCCUCGUGAAUUCAUCUCCGGGGGUAGAGCACUGUUUCGGCAAGGGGGUCAUCCCGACUUACCAACCCGAUGCAAACUGCGAAUACCGGAGAAUGUUAUCACGGGAGACACACGGCGGGUGCUAACGUCCGUCGUGAAGAGGGAAACAACCCAGACCGCCAGCUAAGGUCCCAAAGUCAUGGUUAAGUGGGAAACGAUGUGGGAAGGCCCAGACAGCCAGGAUGUUGGCUUAGAAGCAGCCAUCAUUUAAAGAAAGCGUAAUAGCUCACUGGUCGAGUCGGCCUGCGCGGAAGAUGUAACGGGGCUAAACCAUGCACCGAAGCUGCGGCAGCGACACUUAUGUGUUGUUGGGUAGGGGAGCGUUCUGUAAGCCUGUGAAGGUGUGCUGUGAGGCAUGCUGGAGGUAUCAGAAGUGCGAAUGCUGACAUAAGUAACGAUAAAGCGGGUGAAAAGCCCGCUCGCCGGAAGACCAAGGGUUCCUGUCCAACGUUAAUCGGGGCAGGGUGAGUCGACCCCUAAGGCGAGGCCGAAAGGCGUAGUCGAUGGGAAACAGGUUAAUAUUCCUGUACUUGGUGUUACUGCGAAGGGGGGACGGAGAAGGCUAUGUUGGCCGGGCGACGGUUGUCCCGGUUUAAGCGUGUAGGCUGGUUUUCCAGGCAAAUCCGGAAAAUCAAGGCUGAGGCGUGAUGACGAGGCACUACGGUGCUGAAGCAACAAAUGCCCUGCUUCCAGGAAAAGCCUCUAAGCAUCAGGUAACAUCAAAUCGUACCCCAAACCGACACAGGUGGUCAGGUAGAGAAUACCAAGGCGCUUGAGAGAACUCGGGUGAAGGAACUAGGCAAAAUGGUGCCGUAACUUCGGGAGAAGGCACGCUGAUAUGUAGGUGAAGUCCCUCGCGGAUGGAGCUGAAAUCAGUCGAAGAUACCAGCUGGCUGCAACUGUUUAUUAAAAACACAGCACUGUGCAAACACGAAAGUGGACGUAUACGGUGUGACGCCUGCCCGGUGCCGGAAGGUUAAUUGAUGGGGUCAGCGCAAGCGAAGCUCUUGAUCGAAGCCCCGGUAAACGGCGGCCGUAACUAUAACGGUCCUAAGGUAGCGAAAUUCCUUGUCGGGUAAGUUCCGACCUGCACGAAUGGCGUAAUGAUGGCCAGGCUGUCUCCACCCGAGACUCAGUGAAAUUGAACUCGCUGUGAAGAUGCAGUGUACCCGCGGCAAGACGGAAAGACCCCGUGAACCUUUACUAUAGCUUGACACUGAACAUUGAGCCUUGAUGUGUAGGAUAGGUGGGAGGCUUUGAAGUGUGGACGCCAGUCUGCAUGGAGCCGACCUUGAAAUACCACCCUUUAAUGUUUGAUGUUCUAACGUUGACCCGUGAUCCGGGUUGCGGACAGUGUCUGGUGGGUAGUUUGACUGGGGCGGUCUCCUCCUAAAGAGUAACGGAGGAGCACGAAGGUUGGCUAAUCCUGGUCGGACAUCAGGAGGUUAGUGCAAUGGCAUAAGCCAGCUUGACUGCGAGCGUGACGGCGCGAGCAGGUGCGAAAGCAGGUCAUAGUGAUCCGGUGGUUCUGAAUGGAAGGGCCAUCGCUCAACGGAUAAAAGGUACUCCGGGGAUAACAGGCUGAUACCGCCCAAGAGUUCAUAUCGACGGCGGUGUUUGGCACCUCGAUGUCGGCUCAUCACAUCCUGGGGCUGAAGUAGGUCCCAAGGGUAUGGCUGUUCGCCAUUUAAAGUGGUACGCGAGCUGGGUUUAGAACGUCGUGAGACAGUUCGGUCCCUAUCUGCCGUGGGCGCUGGAGAACUGAGGGGGGCUGCUCCUAGUACGAGAGGACCGGAGUGGACGCAUCACUGGUGUUCGGGUUGUCAUGCCAAUGGCACUGCCCGGUAGCUAAAUGCGGAAGAGAUAAGUGCUGAAAGCAUCUAAGCACGAAACUUGCCCCGAGAUGAGUUCUCCCUGACUCCUUGAGAGUCCUGAAGGAACGUUGAAGACGACGACGUUGAUAGGCCGGGUGUGUAAGCGCAGCGAUGCGUUGAGCUAACCGGUACUAAUGAACCGUGAGGCUUAACCUUACAACGCCGAAG